UUUUACUAUGAAUAUAGUUCCCAAAUUAAUUGAAAGUCAAUGAGCAAUAGAGAUUGUAAAAUGGUUUUAAUUUUAAUAAGUCCCCAAGAAAAAAUUAACAGGACAAAGGCACAGCUCUAUUAUAAUGUUAACUUAGUGCACUCACCUCAUUCCUAAUUUUUAUCUGCAACAUCUGCUUUUUGUACUACUAUAAUUUUACAAGGUUACACUUCUGGUCUCAAAGAAUUGUGACUUCUGGUGGGCUAUUUCUUCUGUGCGAUAAAUUGCACACAUGCAGUGCAUGACCUUUUCACACCUAGUCGCUCUACCUUUACAAAGCUCAGGCAGUUCUGAAUUUGACUCCUUUUAAAAAUAUAUUAUGACCCUCCUGAUUUCUUUUCUUACAAGGUGUACUUUUCUUUAUCUAUUUUGCUUAGUCUCUUUACAUCUGUGGUAUUCAAUGUUUGCAACAAUGGCUUUUCAGAUUUUUUUUUUUGCAAUACCUGUAUUAUGAGCCCCAAAAUAGUGACUAAUUAAUAUGCUCCUUGGGAUUUUCUGGGUAUCUAGCCUGUAGAAAGAAAAGGGCAGUUCCCAGUGAAAGGACAAAUUCCUGCCUUUUACCUGGCUAUUAUAUAUUACUUGUGUAUGUAUGCAUGCAUGUAUAUACCAUGUACAUAAUCCUUUGUUUGUUUUAUAUGCUAUGUGCACUAUUAUUUAUUUAUUUACUAGCUUUUCCUAUUGUACUUCCAUCCUAAAUCAGACUCAAAGUAGCUAAGGUUACAGACAUUUAACAAAAACACACAAGCAGGAAGAGAAAUAACACCCAGUCAUCAUAACACAUUGAAAGUCCCAGUUUAGCUAUAAAAGACCUUUGUAAGUAAAGAAGUCUUUGCAUUGUGACAGGAAACGUACAUGUACAGAGGGCAGGCUACCCAAGUUAGCCUCAGUUUGUAGGAAUUUCUUCAGCCUGAGAAUGAAAUCAUUGGGAAACCUUAUCUGUCUCCACUCAAAAUGGUGCUCAGAAACUGUUGAGUGGGGCCAAGACAUGGGCUUCACAAAUGUCAAAGCUCAGGAAGACUAACAGUACACUUAGGUCAAAUAUUGAAAGAAAUACUGUCUGAGAAGAUGGAUUAAAUGCCAAAGAUACUAUGCACUAUGAAAAAUGUAGUAAUGCUACUUGGAAAGGAGGAAAGAGCUCUUUAUGAAAGGUGAGAGGAGAUAUUAAAAGUAUGGAGCGUCAUGUUACAUUUUCAAGCAUUUAAUAAAAAUAAUAAAAAUGGGCUGUAAGUAAAAAAAAAACAUGAACUUGAAAAGUAUGCAAUUAAAGUAAAUGUAUCACAUUAUUACUACUUCUAGGUAUAUUACCUAGCAGAAUAAUGCUAAGCAACACCUGUAGUGCAAUAUAUGUGGAUCAAUGGUAUGUGAUGAUACCUGACAUCACAUUGUGAGCUUAUGAUGUGUAAUGGACAGAUGAAAUGUGUAGAAACAAUGCCUGUUGACAUGCCACUCUGUUUAGUUUAAUGGAUUACUUCAUGUGCAAUGACACUGCAUAUAAAACUGUACUUAUGCCACCAUCACUUGGAUAUGGCAUUUACACAUUGCCCUCCCAUCCACUCAAAAUGCCCCCAAGGGACAAUGCUGACAUUAUAAGUUCCUUUAUAAAUGCUGGGGAAUAGCAAUGAAAGCAUCCAAGGACACAUUAAUUCAGCCAAGUGUGUGGAGGAUGGUAAAGGAGAUCAAGCUUUAUGAAGGUGAAGAAAGAGAGGUCUUGAAGAACUGGCUUGUAUCUUCCCAACUAUAUGAACGUGAGAGGGCAACUCGUAUGUUAACCCAACUGCUGUGGAUUUACAAAAGUCAAGCCACUGCUGAGGUUGGUGACAUUGUCUGAAAGGAAACCACACUUAUGGAGUUAUAUGGACAUAGUUUUCAAAGGUCUGGGUUCUUUCUGUGUAUCGUGGAACUGCUGUUAUUUUUUUCCUUCUCAGCUGCAGUCAGUUGCAAAUGUGGGGCACAUGACUGGGCUGCUACUUCCUAACUGUGUAGAGAAACAAGCAGUCCUUUGCUAUUGGGGAAAAAUUGCAGUUGUCUGCCUGCUUAAUGCAGAUUUUCCAACUAAGAUAGGUAAGUUGACAUGUGAACUUCAGACCUCACAUUCUACUUUCUCAUUCUUCCUUUUGUACCACUGAUCCAAAACCUAGUGGGAGGUAGGAAAUGAAAAAUCUCAAGUCUUGUUUAGACUGAGAAAACAAAGUCAGAAAUCAAAUGCAAGAAGAACGUUAUGUGCUCCUGAGCCAUCUUAAGGACUUUCACAUGUUAAAAGAAAGGAUCAAGUAACUUAUAGUCUGAUCACAGGUCAUGUGACACACUCCAAAAUGACAGAGUGGGAUCACCCGUACUUCGACCAUGAUCUACCACUGAUCAUGAUGUUGGUCCCCAGCCUGCUCUCAACACCACUGAAUGCAAAGGUAUGAAAAGUGUUAACUGUAUGUGAUCUCCCUCAAUAUAACUUUUAGUUGAUCCCCCUUAUUCUGAAGAGUUCUAAUAGAAGAUUAAUAGAGCAAAAUCUAAAAUCCUUUUUUUGAAUAUCCAUGCUGCCUCUGUGAAUGCUUUGGGAUGGCACUAGAACUUCUUGCAAUAUUAAAUGGUUGGAAGGCACUAUCCUGAAAUAAAUGAGGCAAAGAAUAUCUGAGUAGAUUGAGAAGAACAUUUAGAUGUAUAAAUCCCAUGGUAAAAGACAUGUUUCACUGUGCAUUGCUAAAUUCCUCUCCUUUCCAUAGAGAACAGUCUUGUCUUGUUUCACCAUCUCCCUGUGCAUUCUUGUAUGUCUGAAAAUGACCCCUUUUUCAUAACAGCAAACAGUUCACUUUUCAUUGUAUACCACUUUGCUUUGGUCAUUUCUCUUCUCUUUUACUCCUCUAUUCUACUAUAGUCUUUAUUUAUGAUGGAUACUAAUGCUAACAUUGAGUUCAAAAUGCACUUGGCUUAGAAACCACAAAGUACAAAGAACUGUCACUCAAAAUGAGUGAGAACAUAUUUUUUGUUACACAGAUGUCUCAAGCAUAGCAUUCAUAAAAGUCCAGCAUAAAGAAGAGCAGUGUCUUCCCAGCUUCAGAAUAUUUAAAACUGUCAUGGUGAGAUAGAAUUCUUUUCUUUAAAAUUAAUUAGCUUAGAGGGAUAAAGAGACUUCAAUGAAAGUAAUUUUCAUAUCUUAUCUUCUGUUGUCUUAUAUUAUCUGCUAGGAAAUAAACCCAGUGUUGACCAAAUUGAUGUCAGUGAUUUUGUUCCUUAACUUCCUGCAUUAAUUGGAAGAACAAAAACAAACCCUCAACCAUUUAUUUUAAAUAGAAUAGCUUAGAGGAGGACAAUUGUCACAUAGAGAGACACGGGCAGUCACAUAUCUAGUCACUCACAUAGAGAGGCAUAUGCAGCCAUUCACAUAGAGGGGCCACCACUAAACAGUUCUGAUCCAGCUUACCUG
Anolis carolinensis (green anole) is the source of this 3457-nucleotide long non-coding RNA. RefSeq lists it as uncharacterized. Lineage: Eukaryota; Metazoa; Chordata; Lepidosauria; Squamata; Anolidae. The transcript has 3 exons. The record is from RefSeq and is a predicted model, not a curated record.